RNAcentral lists this ribosomal RNA (236 nucleotides) under uncultured bacterium. RNAcentral's name for it is "partial 16S ribosomal RNA". It matches the Rfam family "Bacterial small subunit ribosomal RNA", at positions 118 to 347 of the family's 1533-position model. The record is from RNAcentral.
UGAGGAACAUGACCUUCGGCGGGGGAUAGCCGGCCCAACGGCCGGGUAAUACCGCGUACGACCACAUGGGGACAUCCCUAGGUGGUGAAAGCAGCAAUGCGCCGAUGGAGUGCCUCGCGGCCUAUCGGCUAGUUGGUGAGGUAACGGCUCACCAAGGCGACGACGGGUAGCUGGUCUGAGAGGAUGGCCAGCCACAUUGGGACUGAGACACGGCCCAGACCUCCGUACGGGAGCAG